RNAcentral lists this unclassified non-coding RNA (341 nucleotides) under soil metagenome. RNAcentral describes it as "partial contains 5.8S ribosomal RNA, internal transcribed spacer 2, and large subunit ribosomal RNA". The stretch from base 1 to 120 matches the Rfam family "5.8S ribosomal RNA", at positions 35 to 154 of the family's 154-position model. The record is from RNAcentral.
GAUGAAGACCGUAGCGAAAUGCGAUAAGUAGUGUGAAUUGCAGAAUUCAGUGAAUCAUCGAAUCUUUGAACGCACAUUGCGCCCUUUGGUAUUCCAAAGGGCAUGCCUGUUCGAGCGUCAUUUGUACCCUCAAGCUUUGCUUGGUGUUGGGCGUCUUGUCUCUAGCUUUGCUGGAGACUCGCCUUAAAGUAAUUGGCAGCCGGCCUACUGGUUUCGGAGCGCAGCACAAGUCGCACUCUCUAUCAGCAAAGGUCUAGCAUCCAUUAAGCCUUUUUUUCAACUUUUGACCUCGGAUCAGGUAGGGAUACCCGCUGAACUUAAGCAUAUCAAUAAGCGGAGGA